UGGGGAAUUUUGGACAAUGGGCGAAAGCCUGAUCCAGCAAUGCCGCGUGUGUGAAGAAGGCCUUCGGGUUGUAAAGCACUUUUGUCCGGAAAGAAAUCCUUGGCUCUAAUACAGUCGGGGGAUGACGGUACCGGAAGAAUAAGCACCGGCUAACUACGUGCCAGCAGCCGCGGUAAUACGUAGGGUGCAAGCGUUAAUCGGAAUUACUGGGCGUAAAGCGUGCGCAGGCGGUUUGCUAAGACCGAUGUGAAAUCCCCGGGCUCAACCUGGGAAACUGCAUUGGGUGACUGGCAGGCUAGAGUAUGGCAGAGGGGGGUAGAAUUCCACGUGUAGCAGUGAAAUGCGUAGAGAUGUGGAGGAAUACCGAUGGCGAAGGCAGCCCCCUGGGCCAAUACUGACGCUCAUGCACGAAAGCGUGGGGAGCAAACAGGAUUAGAUACCCCUGGUAGUCCACGCCCUAAACGAUGUCAACUAGGUUGUUGGGGAUUCAUUCCUUAGUAACGUAGCUAACGCGUGAAGUUGACCGCCUGGGGAGUACGGUCGCAAGAUUAAAACUCAAAUGAAUUGACGGGGUC
Molecule: ribosomal RNA, 575 nt
Filed under: uncultured bacterium
Lineage: Bacteria
Description: partial 16S ribosomal RNA
Rfam family: Bacterial small subunit ribosomal RNA
Source: RNAcentral